Triticum aestivum (bread wheat) is the source of this 124-nucleotide non-coding RNA. The record is from Rfam. Lineage: Eukaryota; Viridiplantae; Streptophyta; Magnoliopsida; Poales; Poaceae.
AUAAUACUCCCUCCAUCUAGAAAUACUCGUCGGAGGAAUGAAUGUAUCUAGAUGUAUUUUAGUUCUAGAUACAUUCAUUUUUUGCAUUUCUCCGACAAGUAUUUUCGGAUGGAGGGAGUAUUUA